This 776-nucleotide ribosomal RNA is filed under the name uncultured Neocallimastigales. RNAcentral's name for it is "partial large subunit ribosomal RNA". It matches the Rfam family "Eukaryotic large subunit ribosomal RNA", at positions 24 to 631 of the family's 3401-position model. Lineage: Eukaryota; Fungi; Neocallimastigomycota; Neocallimastigomycetes; Neocallimastigales. The record is from RNAcentral.
UAUGUGAUCGUCUCUCGCAUAUCAAUAAGCGGAGGAAAAGAAACUAACAAGGAUUCCCCUAGUAACGGCGAGUGAAGCGGGAAGAGCUCAAAUUUGAAAUCUUAAAGGGUUUUCCCUUUACGAAUUGUAGUUUAAAGAAGUGUUUUCUGUUGAGGUUUUGGUAAAAGUUCUUUGGAAUAGGACAUCAUAGAGGGUGAGAAUCCCGUAUUUGACCUUUACUUUCAACUUUGUGAUACACUUUCAAAGAGUCGGAUUGUUUGGGAAUGCAGUCCAAAAUGGGUGGUAAAUUUCAUCUAAAGCUAAAUAUUGGCGAGAGACCGAUAGCGAACAAGUACCGUGAGGGAAAGAUGAAAAGAACUUUGAAAAGAGAGUUAAACAGUACGUGAAAUUGUCAAAAGGGAAGCGUUUGACACCAGUGUUGUUUUUCUGAAAAUCAAUUAAAGAACUGUUUAUGCUAAGUUGUUUAGACUUUAUCAGCUAACUGUUUAGUUUUGAGCUUUUCUUUAAUGCACUUUUCAGUUAACAAGUCAACAUCCAAUUUCUUUUGCUGUAAAAAAGCUUGAGGAAGGUGGCUUGAGAUUCGUCUUAAGUGUUUAUAGCCUCUUGCCUAUGCAGUCGGAGAGAUUGAGGUCUGCAGCGUAGAUCCUUCGGGGCUAAAUGCAUUUGUGCUAAGUUAUAGCAUUUUAUAGACAACUUGUUGACUAUGAUUUGUCUUGUAGCUUACUCGCUUAUGUUAUUUUACCUACGCUUAGGAUGUUGAUCUACAGAGCGAGAGU